RNAcentral lists this ribosomal RNA (742 nucleotides) under uncultured bacterium. Its description in RNAcentral is "bacterial SSU rRNA". It matches the Rfam family "Bacterial small subunit ribosomal RNA", at positions 108 to 851 of the family's 1533-position model. The record is from RNAcentral.
GAGUAACGCGUAUCCAACCUGCCCACCACUUGGGGAUAACCUUGCGAAAGUAAGACUAAUACCCAAUGACGUCUCUAGAAGGCAUCUGAAAGAGAUUAAAGAUUUAUCGGUGAUGGAUGGGGAUGCGUCUGAUUAGCUUGUUGGCGGGGUAACGGCCCACCAAGGCAACGAUCAGUAGGGGUUCUGAGAGGAAGGUCCCCCACAUUGGAACUGAGACACGGUCCAAACUCCUACGGGAGGCAGCAGUGAGGAAUAUUGGUCAAUGGACGAGAGUCUGAACCAGCCAAGUAGCGUGCAGGAAGACGGCCCUAUGGGUUGUAAACUGCUUUUAUAAGGGAAUAAAGUGAGUCUCGUGAGACUUUUUGCAUGUACCUUAUGAAUAAGGACCGGCUAAUUCCGUGCCAGCAGCCGCGGUAAUACGGAAGGUCCGGGCGUUAUCCGGAUUUAUUGGGUUUAAAGGGAGCGUAGGCCGGAGAUUAAGCGUGUUGUGAAAUGUAGACGCUCAACGUCUGCACUGCAGCGCGAACUGGUUUCCUUGAGUACGCACAAAGUGGGCGGAAUUCGUGGUGUAGCGGUGAAAUGCUUAGAUAUCACGAAGAACUCCGAUUGCGAAGGCAGCUCACUGGAGCGCAACUGACGCUGAAGCUCGAAAGUGCGGGUAUCGAACAGGAUUAGAUACCCUGGUAGUCCGCACGGUAAACGAUGGAUGCCCGCUGUUGGUCUGAAUAGGUCAGCGGCCAAG